This 73-nucleotide transfer RNA is filed under the name Bos taurus (domestic cattle). It matches the Rfam family "tRNA". Rfam says of the family: Transfer RNA (tRNA) molecules are approximately 80 nucleotides in length. Their secondary structure includes four short double-helical elements and three loops (D, anti-codon, and T loops). Lineage: Eukaryota; Metazoa; Chordata; Mammalia; Artiodactyla; Bovidae. The record is from Rfam by way of RNAcentral. RNAcentral also lists the same sequence under 3 other names.
UCCCUGGUGGUCGCGUGGUUAAGACUCUGCGCUUCCAAUGCAGGGGGCAUGGGUUCAACCCCUGGUCGGGGGA